RNAcentral lists this unclassified non-coding RNA (1478 nucleotides) under Hevea brasiliensis (rubber tree). Lineage: Eukaryota; Viridiplantae; Streptophyta; Magnoliopsida; Malpighiales; Euphorbiaceae. The record is from RNAcentral.
GGAAAGGCUGGGUGGAAUCCCGGCUUAGGCAACUGACACUAAAGAUAGAGCGGGACACGAACGGGAUGUUGCAGUGCCAUCCGUAUCCUAAUGAAUUUGUAGACUUAUCUAAGCCAUGUCCGCAUUGUGCUUUUUUUACGGGCUUGCAGAGGAAACAGGGUGUCAAAGUGCAAGAAGGGCAACAAUUUGAUAUUCGUGGCACAGUCGAUGAGUUUAAGCAAGAUGUAAGCAUGUACGCUUACUGGAGACCAGGCAUGGAUAUCUAUGUAUCUCAUGUUCGGAGGAAGCAAAUUCCUCCAUUUGUCUUUCCAGAUGGGUAUAAGAGACCAAGGCAACCUAGGAAUACAAGUCAUAGUACUCCUGAGAAAGUUGCUAAAGACUGCAUGUCUCCUGAAGAACGGCAGCCAAAGAGGAAACAGGAGACUGAAACAGUCCAUGUAAAUUUGGGCAAACCAGGGAAACGUGCUUCUAUCAGUCCGCAGAGGAUCGGAUCUGUUUCUCCUCUAGGUAGUUCUUGCAGGUCUGACGGAUCAUCACAGAUAAUCAUUUCUGAUGAGUCACAGAGGGAGCUUGAGAGUUCUUGCCUAAUGGACAGUUCUGAUGAUAGAUCAUUACAUAGGAUAUUGCGCAGCAGAAGUGAUUCCUCUCCGAGUGACAGUUCCAUUUGUACACCUGAUAGUUUAAACUAUACAACGUUGAGGGGUUCCACCUUAUUAGGAGUUUCCAGAGAAGUUGAAUUAGAUAGUUCCAACACAAAAUCCCUCCCAAACAAGGAAGUGCUCAGUCCAUGUGAAGACAUAUGCAGUAGAGACGUCCAGACUUUUCAAGUCUUGCAGAAUGAUGAGAAGGGGGAGAUUUUGGGAUCACUUCAUCAGGAUAUUGUUGGGCAGCUCAACGAACCAUGCAUUCAGACUCGUUGUGCAGAAAGUCUCGAAAGAGUGACUGUAUCAAAUUCCAACACCCAGAACCUCACUUGCGAGGGUGAUAUAAGCUUGGCUGAUCGGAUUUCACAACUUGGGGAUGGAUGUCUAAGUGGGAAUGGAGAACUGGGUAAUGGCUUGGCAGAGAUGUCACAGCCAAACCUUUCUCUCACAAGGGCAAUGGAACCACAGGAUGGGACAAGCUCAGAGGCUGUGCAGGAGGCUGCAAUAAGUCGAGAGCCGGCGUGGAGGUGAUACCUUGAAUAGAGUCGUGGAUCUUAUCUGCUUCAUUUGUUAAGAACGUUGGUAGAUGAUGUGGAAAACAAAUAGCAUGUGGAUGUUUGUUUGAAGAAGCAGCGUGAAACAGGGUAGUGGCUACUACUUUUUUUCUUUCAACGGUCUAGAAAAGACAUGCUUUUUAUUGUGAUGAUGUUACUAACCUUAUUAUUGUGAGAUGGUACUAUUUUGUUUGGACUUCCUGUAGUAUAUAUACAUCUGAUAUAUUUGUAGUUACUAUCCUCGAUGCAUGUCAUAUUCCGAAAUUUUAUUAUCUUUUUA